CGGAAAGGCGUUUGGGAUGCCAACGAUGAGGCUGCUGUCAUUUGUGGUGUUGGCUCUAUUUGCUGUCACUCAAGCAGAGGAAGGAGCCAGGCUUUUGGCUUCCAAAUCACUGCUGAACAGAUACGCCGUGGAGGGACGAGACCUGACCUUGCAGUACAACAUCUACAAUGUUGGCUCAAGUGCUGCAUUAGACGUGGAACUAUCUGAUGAUUCCUUCCCUCCAGAAGACUUUGGCAUUGUGUCUGGAAUGCUCAAUGUCAAAUGGGACCGGAUUGCCCCGUAUCCUCUUGGCACUUGGUGAUGAAGGGUCGGGGGGCAGGGAGAGCCUUGCCUGCAAAGCAGCAGGGGUACUUCAAAUAGGCUGGAUAUGUGUGGCUGUCCUCCUGUCAUCUCUCUGGAUAAGAUGGAGCAAGAGAGUGCUAGCAAUGUCUCCCACACUGUGGUCCUGCGCCCUCUCAAGGCUGGUUAUUUCAACUUCACCUCGGCAACAAUUACUUACCUGGCCCAGGAGGAUGGGCCCGUUGUGAUUGGCUCUACCAGUGCACCUGGACAGGGAGGAAUCCUGGCUCAGCGGGAGUUUGACAGGCGAUUCUCCCCUCAUUUUCUGGACUGGGCAGCCUUUGGGGUCAUGACCCUUCCCUCCAUCGGCAUCCCCCUGCUAUUGUGGUACUCCAGCAAGAGGAAAUAUGACACUCCCAAAACGAAGAAGAACUGAUUGGGGCUUCCACAGCCCUCCUCUCCCAAGAAAUCCAGGCUCCUCUCCCAAGAAAUCCAGGUGCUUUCCAGACUCCAAAGAGUAUCUUAAAUGCAAUCUCUUCUCUCUUAGCCCUUGGCCACUUUCUCCUGGAUCCUGCCCUGCUCUCAGCCAUAGUGAAGGACCAGGCCUAGGAGUCUGCGAGAGCCUCCUUGGUUCCAUCGUGAAGCCAUAAACAGGAAUGCCUUUGGCAAUAGCCUUGAGCCUAGAGGGCCCUCUGAUGCCCCACUGAGGUGCUGUUGGUUUAUUGCUGGCAAUGUGAAUUCUCUCAGGGGUCUAGGAGGGGCAUUUUGGAGACUGCCUGACACCACCCCUAUCCCCUGCCUCCCCCUCUCAGAAGAGGGUGGAAGAUGAAAUGAAAGCUAUGGGACUCUUGGAGGAUACCCAGUGUCUA
This 1148-nucleotide small RNA is filed under the name Pan troglodytes (chimpanzee). Its description in RNAcentral is "retained intron". The record is from RNAcentral. Lineage: Eukaryota; Metazoa; Chordata; Mammalia; Primates; Hominidae.